This 207-nucleotide ribosomal RNA is filed under the name uncultured bacterium. Its description in RNAcentral is "partial 16S ribosomal RNA". It matches the Rfam family "Bacterial small subunit ribosomal RNA", at positions 1294 to 1500 of the family's 1533-position model. The record is from RNAcentral.
CGGAUUGCAGGCUGCAACCCGCCUGUAUGAAGUUGGAAUCGCUAGUAAUCGCGGAUCAGCAUGCCGCGGUGAAUACGUUCCCGGGCCUUGUACACACCGCCCGUCACACCAUGAGAGUCGGGAACACCCGAAGUCCGUAGUCUAACCGCAAGGAGGACGCGGCCUAAGGUGGGUUCGAUAAUUGGGGUGAAGUCGUAACAAGGUAUC